Molecule: transfer-messenger RNA, 350 nt
Filed under: Desulfuromonadales bacterium
Lineage: Bacteria; Pseudomonadati; Thermodesulfobacteriota; Desulfuromonadia; Desulfuromonadales
Rfam family: transfer-messenger RNA
About the family: Bacterial tmRNA, also known as 10Sa RNA or SsrA, is named for its dual tRNA and mRNA-like properties. Its role is to liberate the mRNA from a stalled ribosome.
Source: RNAcentral
GGGGGUGCCAAGGUUUCGACGGGGAUCGGAAGCGCAAGUUGCAUGCCGGAGUGGGCUGGCUCCGUAAAAAAGCCCAACCUAACAAACGCCGACACUGACGUUCGUUACGCACUGGCGGCUUAAACGCCGUCACGUCUCCUGUUUCAUCGCCCAUGUGGGGCAGUAGACGUUAAUAGAGUGGGCUAGUCGGCGCGACUGUCCGUGGCGCACCGGCGAAACCUAAGCGGACUCGCCCGCAAGGAAUCCUGUUCGUGGGAGCUCUUCCGGGUUAAGUAAAACACGAACUACGCAUGUAGACGCUUGACGUGAAAGAUUUUCGGACGCGGGUUCGAUUCCCGCCACCUCCACCA